RNAcentral lists this transfer RNA (77 nucleotides) under Deltaproteobacteria bacterium. RNAcentral describes it as "tRNA-Arg". It matches the Rfam family "tRNA". Rfam says of the family: Transfer RNA (tRNA) molecules are approximately 80 nucleotides in length. Their secondary structure includes four short double-helical elements and three loops (D, anti-codon, and T loops). Further hydrogen bonds mediate the characteristic L-shaped molecular structure. tRNAs have two regions of fundamental functional importance: the anti-codon, which is responsible for specific mRNA codon recognition, and the 3' end, to which the tRNAs corresponding amino acid is attached (by aminoacyl-tRNA synthetases). tRNAs cope with the degeneracy of the genetic code in two manners: having more than one tRNA (with a specific anti-codon) for a particular amino acid; and 'wobble' base-pairing, i.e. permitting non-standard base-pairing at the 3rd anti-codon position. Lineage: Bacteria; Pseudomonadati; Myxococcota; Myxococcia. RNAcentral also lists the same sequence under 1 other name. The record is from RNAcentral.
GCGCCACUAGCUCAAUUGGAUAGAGCGUCUGACUACGGAUCAGAAGGUUGGGGAUUCGAGUUCCUCGUGGCGCGCCA